Molecule: ribosomal RNA, 253 nt
Filed under: uncultured bacterium
Lineage: Bacteria
Description: partial 16S ribosomal RNA
Rfam family: Bacterial small subunit ribosomal RNA
Source: RNAcentral
GACAGAGGGUGCAAACGUUGUUCGGAAUUACUGGGCGUAAAGCGUGCGCAGGCGGCUUCGCAAGUCAGACGUGAAAUCCCCGGGCUUAACCUGGGAAUGGCGUUUGAAAUUACGGAGCUGGAGUGUGGCAGAGGGAGGUAGAAUUCCACGUGUAGCGGUGAAAUGCGUAGAUAUGUGGAGGAAUACCGAUGGCGAAGGCAGCCUCCUGGGCCAACACUGACGCUCAUGCACGAAAGCGUGGGGAGCAAACAGG